RNAcentral lists this ribosomal RNA (492 nucleotides) under uncultured bacterium. Its description in RNAcentral is "partial 16S ribosomal RNA". It matches the Rfam family "Bacterial small subunit ribosomal RNA", at positions 29 to 507 of the family's 1533-position model. The record is from RNAcentral.
AGUGAACGCUGGCGGUAGGCCUAACACAUGCAAGUCGAACGGCAGCACAGUAAGAGCUUGCUCUUACGGGUGGCGAGUGGCGGACGGGUGAGGAAUACAUCGGAAUCUACUUUUUCGUGGGGGAUAACGUAGGGAAACUUACGCUAAUACCGCAUACGACCUACGGGUGAAAGCAGGGGAUCUUCGGACCUUGCGCGAUUGAAUGAGCCGAUGUCGGAUUAGCUAGUUGGCGGGGUAAAGGCCCACCAAGGCGACGAUCCGUAGCUGGUCUGAGAGGAUGAUCAGCCACACUGGAACUGAGACACGGUCCAGACUCCUACGGGAGGCAGCAGUGGGGAAUAUUGGACAAUGGGCGCAAGCCUGAUCCAGCCAUACCGCGUGGGUGAAGAAGGCCUUCGGGCUGUAAAGCCCUUUUGUUGGGAAAGAAAAGCAGCAGGUUAAUACCCCGCUGUUCUGACGGUACCCAAAGAAUAAGCACCGGCUAACCUCGUG